CUAUCUAGGGAGGCCAAGCAUCCUCGCCCACUAGGCCCAGCGAUCAGACUUCAAGACCAUGUGCACAAAAUGAGCUCCCAGGAUGGAUGAGCACGCAUCUGCUAGGCUCUGGACAGGUCACAGCAGAGCCCUUCUCCCUGCUCACCGCCCAGCACACUCUCAUCUCACCGAAAAUCAAAGAGCAGUAAAGCUGCAGGACUUGUCUCAGGCGGCAUGUUUCAGAAGGGAGCGGGGGGAAGACACCAAAUGAACUCUUCUCCAUCAUGCCCUUCUGCCAUGAUAUCUACCUGAACACAGAUCUAAAAGCAAUGGAGCCAGCUGACCAUGGAUGGGAACCACUGAAAUCAUGAGCCAAAAUAAACCUUUCUUCCUCAA
This 375-nucleotide long non-coding RNA is filed under the name Heterocephalus glaber (naked mole-rat). RNAcentral describes it as "lncRNA (ENSHGLG00000039939.1)". Lineage: Eukaryota; Metazoa; Chordata; Mammalia; Rodentia; Bathyergidae. The record is from RNAcentral.